RNAcentral lists this ribosomal RNA (944 nucleotides) under uncultured delta proteobacterium. Its description in RNAcentral is "bacterial SSU rRNA". It matches the Rfam family "Bacterial small subunit ribosomal RNA", at positions 8 to 933 of the family's 1533-position model. Lineage: Bacteria; Deltaproteobacteria. The record is from RNAcentral.
AGAGUUUGAUCCUGGCUCAGAACGAACGCUGGCGGCGUGCUUAACACAUGCAAGUCUAACGAGAAAGCUUCCUUCGGGGAGUGAGUAAAGUGGCGCACGGGUGAGUAACACGUGGGUAACCUACCCUUCAGUUUGGGAUAACAUUUCGAAAGGGAUGCUAAUACCAAAUACGUUCAAAAAGGCUUCGGCUUUAUUGGAGAAAGAUGGCCUCUAUACUAUGCUGUCACUGAUGGAUGGGCCCGCGGACCAUUAGCUUGUUGGUAGGGUAACGGCCUACCAAGGCUUCGAUGGUUAGCUGGUCUGAGAGGAUGAUCAGCCACACUGGUACUGGAACACGGACCAGACUCCUACGGGAGGCAGCAGUGGGGAAUAUUGCGCAAUGGGGGCAACUCUGACCCAGCCAUGUCGCGUGCAGGAAGACAGUUCUAUGAAUUGUAAACUGCUUUUAUACGGGAAGAAACACAGAGACGUGUCUUUGUCUGCCUGUACCGUACGAAUAAGCAUCGGCUAACUCCGUGCCAGCAGCCGCGGUAAUACAGAGGGUGCGAGCGUUAAUCGGAAUUACUGGGCGUAAAGCGCGCGUAGGCGGUUAUUUAAGUCAGAUGUGAAAUCCCAGGGCUCAACCUUGGAACUGCAUCUGAUACUGGGUAACUAGAGUUUGGGAGAGGGAAGUAGAAUUUCAGGUGUAGCGGUGAAAUGCAUAGAGAUCUGAAGGAAUACCAGUGGCGAAGGCGACUUCCUGGCCUAAAACUGACGCUGAGGUGCGAAAGCGUGGGUAGCAAACGGGAUUAGAUACCCCGGUAGUCCACGCCGUAAACGAUGUCAACUAGUCGUUGGACCCCUUGAGGGUUUAGUGACGCAGCUAACGCAUUAAGUUUACCGCCUGGGGAGUACGGUCGCAAGACUAAAACUCAAAGGAAUUGACGGGGGCCCGCACAAGCGGU